UCUGCUUGGCUACUGUCUUUUCCAUCUUGUUUAGUGACUGUUGCUAUUUCUGAAUCUUCCAAAUUAAAGUAUCUUCCCAUUCCAGAAUUCUCAGACUUCAUGUCAAUAUUUUCUUUCCUUGAGGUCUUUUUGGAUUUAAGAAGAUGGUUCGCAUCUCCUGAUUUGGAGACAAAGGAAAAAAGAUAAACAGGUGCCAAUGUGGAUGCUGGAAGGCUAACAGGAGAGACAAUGGACUGUCUACAAGUUGGCAAAAUGAUGACCAGAGCCAGCAAGGACCAGAGCACCACCCAACAUUAACAUUUUCAGCAUGCUAUCACAUCACUCAAGCAGUUGCCAGAGUCCCUAACUUCUGUGAUCAGGACUGGUUAAAAUUAAGAUAUAGGCCUGGAAUAGAGAUGUAAGCUACCCUUUCUGCACUACUGGUUUAAGUUAAGUCUACGCAAGAGACAGAAUUGCAGACAUAUGGACACACACACACGCACACACACAUACAUUCAUCCAUUUUGUUUUUAUAUCAUCUCUAUUUCUUAAUAUAACCCAAAUGGACAUGUCCAGACCAGCCCUAGUGACACACUAAUAAAUCUAGUUUAAAUUUUCUCUAA
Long non-coding RNA from Antechinus flavipes (yellow-footed antechinus), 602 nucleotides. RefSeq lists it as uncharacterized. NCBI's taxonomy places the organism in Eukaryota, Metazoa, Chordata, Mammalia, Dasyuromorphia, Dasyuridae. The transcript is spliced from 2 exons. The record is from RefSeq and is a predicted model, not a curated record.